Paramuricea clavata is the source of this 315-nucleotide non-coding RNA. Lineage: Eukaryota; Metazoa; Cnidaria; Anthozoa; Malacalcyonacea; Plexauridae. The record is from the annotation of a GenBank genome assembly.
CUUCGAUCCCCUCGAUCCCUUAUGCCCUGGUGGCCGUGAGGUGACUCUGAUCCUCUGCUCCCUUCGCCUCGUGUCCCUUUGAAAAGCGAAAAACGUCUGAUCCCCUCGAUCCCUUCGAUCCCCUCGAUCCCUUCGAUCCCCUCGAUCCCUUAUGCCCUGGUGGCCAUGAGGUGACUCUGAUCCUCUGCUCCCUUCGCCUCGUGUCCCUUUGAAAAGCGAAAAACGUCCGAUCCCCUCGAUCCCUUCGAUCCCCUCGAUCCCUUAUGCCCUGGUGGCCAUGAGGUGACUCUGAUCCUCUGCUCCCUUCGCCUCGUG